UGGGGAAUAUUGCACAAUGGGCGCAAGCCUGAUGCAGCAACGCCGCGUGAGGGACGACGGCCUUCGGGUUGUAAACCUCUUUUAGUAGGGAAGAAGCGAAAGUGACGGUACCUGCAGAAAAAGCACCGGCUAACUACGUGCCAGCAGCCGCGGUAAUACGUAGGGUGCGAGCGUUGUCCGGAAUUAUUGGGCGUAAAGAGCUCGUAGGCGGUCUGUCGCGUCUGCUGUGAAAACCCGAGGCUCAACCUCGGGCCUGCAGUGGGUACGGGCAGACUAGAGUGCGGUAGGGGAGAAUGGAAUUCCUGGUGUAGCGGUGGAAUGCGCAGAUAUCAGGAGGAACACCGAUGGCGAAGGCAGUUCUCUGGGCCGUAACUGACGCUGAGGAGCGAAAGCGUGGGGAGCGAACAGGAUUAGAUACCCU
RNAcentral lists this ribosomal RNA (421 nucleotides) under uncultured bacterium. Its description in RNAcentral is "partial 16S ribosomal RNA". It matches the Rfam family "Bacterial small subunit ribosomal RNA", at positions 355 to 788 of the family's 1533-position model. The record is from RNAcentral.